AUUGAACGCUGGCGGCAUGCCUUACACAUGCAAGUCGAACGGCAGCACGGGAGCAAUCCUGGUGGCGAGUGGCGAACGGGUGAGUAAAGUAUCGGAACGUGCCCAGUCGUGGGGGAUAACGUAGCGAAAGUUACGCUAAUACCGCAUACGAUCUAUGGAUGAAAGCGGGGGAUCGCAAGACCUCGCGCGAUUGGAGCGGCCGAUAUCAGAUUAGGUAGUUGAUGGGGUAAAGGCUCACCAAGCCGACGAUCUGUAGCUGGUCUGAGAGGACGACCAGCCACACUGGGACUGAGACACGGCCCAGACUCCUACGGGAGGCAGCAGUGGGGAAUUUUGGACAAUGGGCGAAAGCCUGAUCCAGCCAUGCCGCGUGCAGGAUGAAGGCCUUCGGGUUGUAAACUGCUUUUGUACGGAACGAAAAGGUUUGGCCUAAUAAGCUGGGCUCAUGACGGUACCGUAAGAAUAAGCACCGGCUAACUACGUGCCAGCCGCCGCGGUAA
Molecule: ribosomal RNA, 500 nt
Filed under: uncultured bacterium
Lineage: Bacteria
Description: partial 16S ribosomal RNA
Rfam family: Bacterial small subunit ribosomal RNA
Source: RNAcentral